RNAcentral lists this ribosomal RNA (253 nucleotides) under uncultured bacterium. RNAcentral describes it as "partial 16S ribosomal RNA". It matches the Rfam family "Bacterial small subunit ribosomal RNA", at positions 524 to 776 of the family's 1533-position model. The record is from RNAcentral.
UACGUAGGGUGCAAGCGUUGUCCGGAAUUAUUGGGCGUAAAGAGCUCGUAGGCGGUCUGUCGCGUCGGCUGUGAAAACCUGGGGCUCAACCCCGGGCCUGCAGACGAUACGGGCUAGCUAGAAUUCGGUAGGGGAGACUGGAAUUCCUGGUGUAGCGGUGAAAUGCGCAGAUAUCAAGUGGAACACCAGUGGCGAAGGCGAGUCUCUGGACAUUUCCUGACGCUGAGGCACGAAAGCCAGGGGAGCAAACGGG